Mastomys coucha (southern multimammate mouse) is the source of this 456-nucleotide long non-coding RNA. RefSeq lists it as uncharacterized. The record is from RefSeq and is a predicted model, not a curated record. Lineage: Eukaryota; Metazoa; Chordata; Mammalia; Rodentia; Muridae. The transcript has 2 exons.
UUCCAGGAGGGGGAGGGGGAAGGACAUGAAAGAGGAAGAGAGGGGAGAGGGUUACAAUUGAAUUUACCCUGCCACAGCCCAAUAUGAGAAACAGCCCUGGAAAACAGUUAUGGUCAGCUCCUGUAGCCUUCAUAAGACAUGACUCAUCCCUUCCUACCAUCUCUGCCCAUCUAGCCUCCCAAGUGAGCCCUAACAGAUGUUCCCUCCCAUUAGCAUGCCCAGCUGCCUCGUCCCACUGGUCCUCACAGCUCUCCCUGACCAGAUGUACUGCUGUAUUGUUAGCUGCCCCGUGCCGUGGUCUUUGUCUUUUUGACUAAUUGAUCUUUUUGGCUGACACAGGAAGUACUGAAGAGAGAGAUUUUGAAGAAUGCCUGAUAAAUCAGCAGGGUUUUGAACAUGUUACACAUGUUCUUUGUUCAUUUUGACAGUAAAGGCAGCAAUGGCUACCUCUCAGGA